Long non-coding RNA from Dromaius novaehollandiae (emu), 711 nucleotides. RefSeq lists it as uncharacterized. The transcript has 3 exons. Lineage: Eukaryota; Metazoa; Chordata; Aves; Casuariiformes; Dromaiidae. The record is from RefSeq and is a predicted model, not a curated record.
UCUUGGUUCCCCAAAACACUGUCCGGGGCACACGAAGGUGACUGACUUUAACAUGAAAUAACUAGUGCAGCUUCCUCAAGGUACGAACUUAAUGGCUAGUGUGCAUGCAGUAUGGGGAUGUUUCAUGGAAACUUGGCUGUAACUGGGAAGCUCUCUCUGGUAGGGCAUGCUAUUUCUCAUUUUACGUUUCUUUUUUGCAUGUGCAAAUAGAUUUUCAAACAGUUUUGCUCCAUUGCGCUAAGGCAUUAGCGUUACUACGUUCAGCUCGAACGCAAGGUCGUUGGACACCAGCGAAGGUCAAGACCGGCGUUGCUCCCUCAACCACCAGACGUCCCGCCACCGAAACGCGUGUGCCGCGAUGUGGGAGCAGCCGUGGGUGCGGGAGUGAGCGGCGUGGUGGCAGCUCUGGACCUGCAAGGCGUUCGCCCCGGGACGAAGGUCAUGGCCUAAAGCUGGUGAGUUUCCAGAACAGGCUCUGGGACUGUCCACGGCGAAGGAUUGACUGGUGUCUUCCUUGAUGGAAAGCAAAACAGUGAUGGAAUGAAAUGCACUUCUGGCAACGGUGCUCAAGAUAACGUAAAAUUGCAAAUAUUGCCAAGAAAGAACAUGUCCUGUAAUGAUGGGCAGGCAAAGUCACAGAGAUAUAAGCGAUAACCUCAGUUUGGGCUCAGAUAUAUGGAUGAACCAGACUGAACGGAAGAGAUGAUACUC